Molecule: long non-coding RNA, 404 nt
Organism: Lactuca sativa (garden lettuce)
Lineage: Eukaryota; Viridiplantae; Streptophyta; Magnoliopsida; Asterales; Asteraceae
Source: RefSeq, a predicted model, not a curated record
UAGCUAGGAGCUCAAAACACAGUUUCGUAAAAUGAAGUUCAACGAUCUUACUUUGUUCUUGGUUGUUCUCUUUGCAUGUGUUCUCUUUUCUGCUGCUGCAAAAACCCAUCAGACCACCAUUCAACCCCAAACUCAUAAACAAAAAGCUAUUGAAGCAGAAAAAGUAGUUCAUACAAACGGCCCAAGCACAUGGGGCGGCUGCUGGAAAUGCUGGCCCAACCAUAACCGUCGUCUUCUCCGCUAGGAUAGUUCAUGAUGAUGGCAAUAUGCAUGUUUUUGUUGAUCAAUGUAUGAAUAAACCAAUAGGGUGUAUGGUUUGAUUUUUUGCUUUAUAUAUAUAACAAGUAUGAGAUAUUAUCAUAUUAGACACUCGUUUUGUUUUUAAUCGUUAUUGAUUUGUUAGA